RNAcentral lists this ribosomal RNA (651 nucleotides) under uncultured bacterium. RNAcentral's name for it is "bacterial SSU rRNA". It matches the Rfam family "Bacterial small subunit ribosomal RNA", at positions 128 to 816 of the family's 1533-position model. The record is from RNAcentral.
GCCCUUCAGUCCGGAAUAACGUCGGGAAACUGACGCUAAAACCGGAUAUUCCCUCCGGGGGAAAGUUUACGCUGAAGGAUUGGCCCGCGUUAGAUUAGGUAGUUGGUGGGGUAAUGGCCUACCAAGCCUACGAUCUAUAGCUGGUCUGAGAGGACGACCAGCCACACUGGAACUGAGACACGGUCCAGACUCCUACGGGAGGCAGCAGUGGGGAAUAUUGGACAAUGGGGGAAACCCUGAUCCAGCCAUGCCGCGUGAGUGAUGAAGGCCUUAGGGUUGUAAAGCUCUUUUGUGAGGGAAGAUAAUGACGGUACCUCAAGAAUAAGCACCGGCUAACUUCGUGCCAGCAGCCGCGGUAAUACGAAGGGUGCUAGCGUUGUUCGGAAUCACUGGGCGUAAAGCGCGCGUAGGCGGCUUUUCAAGUCAGGGGUGAAAUCCCACGGCUCAACCGUGGAAUUGCCUUUGAAACUGUAAAGCUUGAGUGUCGGAGGGGAUAGCGGAAUUGCUAAUGUAGAGGUGAAAUUCGUAGAUAUUAGCAGGAACACCGGUGGCGAAGGCGGCUAUCUGGACGACAACUGACGCUGAGGCGCGAAAGCGCGGGGAUCAAACAGAUUAGAUACCCUGGUAGUCCGCGCUGUAAACGAUGGAUGC